Molecule: ribosomal RNA, 111 nt
Organism: Dipodomys ordii (Ord's kangaroo rat)
Lineage: Eukaryota; Metazoa; Chordata; Mammalia; Rodentia; Heteromyidae
Source: Ensembl
GUCUACGGCCAUACCACCCUGGACGCGCCUGAUCUCGUCUGGUCUCGGAAACUAAGCAGGGUCGGGGCUGGUUAGUACUUAGAUGGGAGAAAAACUUGAACUUUUAAGAUA